GAUGAACGCUGGCGGCGUGCCUAACACGUGCAAGUCGAACGAAGCACCUUACCUGAUUCUUCGGAUGAAAGUUUGUUGCCUGAGUGGCGGACGGGUGAUUAACGCGUGGGUAACCUGCCCUGUACAGGGUGAUAACAGCUUGAAACGGCUGCUAAUACCGCAUACGCGCACGCUUAGACAUCUCCUUUUGUGAAAAACUCCGGUGGUACAGUAGGGGCCCGCGUCUGAUUAGCUGGUUGGCAGGGUAACGGGCUACCAAGGCAACGAUCAGUAGCCGGUGUGAGGGGAAGAACGGCGACAUUGGAACGGAGACACGGUAGAAAAUCCUACGGGAGGGAGCAGUGGGGAAUAUUGCAAAAUGGGGGAAACGCAGAAGGAGCAACGCCGGGUGAGUGAAGAAGUAAGUCGGUAUGGAAAGCGAUAUAAGCAGGGAAGAUAAUGACGGUACCUGACUAAGAAGCUACGGCUAAAUACGUG
This 477-nucleotide ribosomal RNA is filed under the name uncultured bacterium. Its description in RNAcentral is "partial 16S ribosomal RNA". It matches the Rfam family "Bacterial small subunit ribosomal RNA", at positions 28 to 507 of the family's 1533-position model. The record is from RNAcentral.